CAGGAAUCUUUGCGAUGUACGGCCGAAACAUUCAGCAGGAAGAGAAACAAAUGAGAGUUUAUCGCGUCUACUUUCGCCUUCUGCCCCGGCUCACCCUUCUCUUCUCCAUCCACCCGUCUCCGCCAGCAGCAGCUGAGAGUUGACAGAAUCAUACGUGGCACCAAUUACCCCGGUCUGGGCCCGUCAGCUGGAGGAGAGCAGAGCCGGAGGAAGUCAAAAGGACGGCUGAGCGUCUCCUCUGUGGGGUCGGAGGCUGAUGCGCUGACGGGGACACACAUCUCUGAUCCGGAGAGUCACUGUGUGUGUGUGUGUGUGUGUGUGUCGCUGACAUUAAGCCGAUACGGAGGUCGACGUUACCACGUUAGCAUUGCCAUUUUUAGCUUUUAGCGUUGCCAUUCACAUAUACCUGUAACAUGUCAGACCGAACCCUACGAGAAAACAAGAGCAG
This is a long non-coding RNA of Gasterosteus aculeatus aculeatus (three-spined stickleback), 448 nucleotides long. The record is from Ensembl. NCBI's taxonomy places the organism in Eukaryota, Metazoa, Chordata, Actinopteri, Perciformes, Gasterosteidae.